Molecule: ribosomal RNA, 253 nt
Filed under: uncultured bacterium
Lineage: Bacteria
Description: partial 16S ribosomal RNA
Rfam family: Bacterial small subunit ribosomal RNA
Source: RNAcentral
UACGAAGGUCCCAAGCGUUAUCCGGAUUUAUUGGGUUUAAAGGGUGCGUAGGCGGACUAUUAAGUCAGUGGUGAAAGCCCCAAGCUUAACUUGGGAACUGCCAUUGAUACUGAUGGUCUUGAGUACAUUUGAGGUGGGCGGAAUGUGUCAUGUAGCGGUGAAAUGCUUAGAUAUGACACAGAACACCGAUUGCGAAGGCAGCUCACUAAGCCAUAACUGACGCUGAUGCACGAAAGCGUGGGGAGCAAACAGG